Long non-coding RNA from Carassius auratus (goldfish), 413 nucleotides. RefSeq lists it as uncharacterized. The record is from RefSeq and is a predicted model, not a curated record. NCBI's taxonomy places the organism in Eukaryota, Metazoa, Chordata, Actinopteri, Cypriniformes, Cyprinidae. The transcript has 3 exons.
GAGGCAGCUGUCGGAGAGCAACGGGUGAGCAACAGUCUGAGUGAAAACCUUCACAUUUCUACUUCGAUCUUAAGAAAGCCAUACAGGUUUGGAACCAAGUGAAAACGCAGUGAUGACCAGAUUCCAUCAGCUAUGGAAUGUGAAAUAAAAAAAUGCUAUUUCUAAUCAUUUCAAACAAGCACCAGGGAGGGCAGGGGGUGGGGGUUAUGGAUCUAAAGUAAACAGUUAAUUCUUAAAAAUUAAUUGUUUUACAUAUUUUUCCAAUGUUUUUUAUUUGUUCAUUUUUAUGUUUGAAUGUUGUCCAAGUUGUUUUUGUCUAUAUAAUUGUUCAAAAUAAAUCCCUUUAUAUUCAAUUAGUUUGGAUGGAUUUUCAUUUAUGAGAACCUGUUAUAUUUGAGUGAAAAGAAUCCUUA